This 508-nucleotide ribosomal RNA is filed under the name uncultured bacterium. Its description in RNAcentral is "partial 16S ribosomal RNA". It matches the Rfam family "Bacterial small subunit ribosomal RNA", at positions 28 to 507 of the family's 1533-position model. The record is from RNAcentral.
GACGAACGCUGGCGGCGUGCCUAAUACAUGCAAGUCGAACGCUUCUUUCCUCCCGAGUGCUUGCACUCAAUUGGAAAGAGGAGUGGCGGACGGGUGAGUAACACGUGGGUAACCUACCCAUCAGAGGGGGAUAACACUUGGAAACAGGUGCUAAUACCGCAUAACAGUUUAUGCCGCAUGGCAUAAGAGUGAAAGGCGCUUUCGGGUGUCGCUGAUGGAUGGACCCGCGGUGCAUUAGCUAGUUGGUGAGGUAACGGCUCACCAAGGCCACGAUGCAUAGCCGACCUGAGGGGGUGAUCGGCCACACUGGAACUGAGACACGGCCCAGACGCCUACGGGAGGCAGCAGUAGGGAAUCUUCGGCAAUGGACGAAAGUCUGACCGAGCAACGCCGCGUGAGUGAAGAAGGUGUUCGGAUCGUAAAACUCUGUUGUUAGAGAAGAACAAGGACGUUAGUAACUGAACGUCCCCUGACGGUAUCUAACCAGAAAGCCACGGCUAACUACGUG